UAGGGAAUAUUGGACAAUGGGGGCAACCCUGAUCCAGCAAUGCCGCGUGAGUGAUGAAGGCCUUAGGGUUGUAAAGCUCUUUUACCCGGGAUGAUAAUGACAGUACCGGGAGAAUAAGCUCCGGCUAACUCCGUGCCAGCAGCCGCGGUAAUACGGAGGGAGCUAGCGUUGUUCGGAAUUACUGGGCGUAAAGCGCGCGUAGGCGGCUAUUUAAGUCAGAGGUGAAAGCCUGGAGCUCAACUCCAGAACUGCCUUUGAGACUGGAUAGCUAGAAUCCUGGAGAGGUGAGUGGAAUUCCGAGUGUAGAGGUGAAAUUCGUAGAUAUUCGGAAGAACACCAGUGGCGAAGGCGGCUCACUGGACAGGUAUUGACGCUGAGGUGCGAAAGCGUGGGGAGCAAACAGGAUUAGAUACCCCCGUAGUCC
This 424-nucleotide ribosomal RNA is filed under the name uncultured prokaryote. Its description in RNAcentral is "bacterial SSU rRNA". It matches the Rfam family "Bacterial small subunit ribosomal RNA", at positions 355 to 796 of the family's 1533-position model. The record is from RNAcentral.